Molecule: long non-coding RNA, 208 nt
Filed under: Elaeis guineensis (African oil palm)
Lineage: Eukaryota; Viridiplantae; Streptophyta; Magnoliopsida; Arecales; Arecaceae
Description: long non-coding RNA (EGUI_LNC017793)
Source: RNAcentral
CAGCGGGAUCAUUGCUUCUGCUUCAUAGGCUAAGUUGAAGGGAGAUUUUUCCGUUGGGACACGGGACAUCGUCCGAUAGGCCCACAGGACGGAGUUCAAUUCUUCAACCUAUAAGCCUUUGGCUUCAUUUAGUCGGGUCUUUAGUCCGUGUAGAAUGGUCCGAUUGGUCACCUCGACCUCGUCGUUGGACUGUGGAUGCCCGAUCAAG